GACGUAGGGCGUGAGCGUUGUCCGGAUUUAUUGGGCGUAAAGAGCUCGUAGGCGGCUCGUUGCGUCGGCUGUGAAAACCCGCAGCUCAACUGUGGGCUUGCAGCUGAUACGGGCGGGCUGGGAUUCGGUAGGGGAGACUGGAAUUCCUGGUGUAGCGGUGAAAUGCGCAGAUAUCAGGAGGAACACCGGUGGCGAAGGCGGGUCUCUGGGCCGAUAUCGACGCUGAGGAGCGAAAGCCAGGGGAGCGAACGGG
Molecule: ribosomal RNA, 253 nt
Filed under: uncultured bacterium
Lineage: Bacteria
Description: partial 16S ribosomal RNA
Rfam family: Bacterial small subunit ribosomal RNA
Source: RNAcentral